Molecule: non-coding RNA, 107 nt
Organism: Daucus carota subsp. sativus
Lineage: Eukaryota; Viridiplantae; Streptophyta; Magnoliopsida; Apiales; Apiaceae
Source: Rfam
AUUCCAUGAUGAGGACACUUUCGAAGCAUUUCUUUGUAGCAUUCCCAAGCUUCACAUAAAGUUUCACCCGACUGUUGAGAAAAUUGAGUAAGAGCAUUCUUGAUUGC